RNAcentral lists this small RNA (77 nucleotides) under Olleya sp. Hel_I_94. Its description in RNAcentral is "Flavo-1 RNA". It matches the Rfam family "Flavo-1 RNA". Lineage: Bacteria; Pseudomonadati; Bacteroidota; Flavobacteriia; Flavobacteriales; Flavobacteriaceae. The record is from RNAcentral.
GUGCAUUAGCGAUAGUAACGACAUCCUUUUUGUUUUACUAAAAAAACAAAAAGAUACAGUGGAUAGCGCGACGCUUU